This 112-nucleotide microRNA precursor is filed under the name Musa balbisiana (Balbis banana). Its description in RNAcentral is "MIR394 microRNA precursor family". It matches the Rfam family "MIR394 microRNA precursor family". Lineage: Eukaryota; Viridiplantae; Streptophyta; Magnoliopsida; Zingiberales; Musaceae. RNAcentral also lists the same sequence under 1 other name. The record is from Rfam by way of RNAcentral.
CUUACGGUGCUUAUUGGCAUUCUGUCCACCUCCAACCCUUCCUUUCUCAUGGCACCAAGAGCAUCAAAAGAAAGAUAUGGAGGUGGGCAGCCUGCCAACCGAGCUCCGUAGG